Nannospalax galili (Upper Galilee mountains blind mole rat) is the source of this 630-nucleotide non-coding RNA. Lineage: Eukaryota; Metazoa; Chordata; Mammalia; Rodentia; Spalacidae. The record is from the annotation of a RefSeq genome assembly.
AUGGGCUUUAUGACUCAGAUUUUCAUUUCUUUGCUACUCAGUGUCAAAGUGUCCAGUGGAGAAAUUGUGCUCACCCAGUCUCCAGCCUCGUUGGCUACAUCUCAAGGAGAGAGAGUCAUCAUCACCUGCAGUGCCAUCUCAAGUGUAGGCACUAGUAGAUUGCACUGGUACCCACAGAAGACAGGAUUCUCUCCCAAUCUCCUGAUUUAUGGCACAUCGGCACUGGCUGCUGGAGGCUCAGCCCUCUUUAGUGGCAGUGUGUCUGGAACCUCUUACUCUCUGACAAUCAGCAGCAUGGAGGCUGAAGAUGCUGCAACUUAUUACUGUCAACAGGGGCAUAAUUUACCGGCCACAGUGCUACAGACUGGAACUAAAAGUUCCAGCAGAGACAUUAUGAUGACACAGACUCCACUCUCCCUGCCUGUUCCUCCUGGAGAGUCGGCCUCCAUCUCCUGCAGUCAGGGCCCCCUACACAGUAAUGGAAAUACCUAUUUGCAUUGGGUUCUGCAGAAUCCAGGCCAGUCUCCACAGCUCCUGAUCUAUAUGGUGUUUAAUAGGUACACUGGAGUCCCAGACAGGUUCAGUGGAAAUGGAUCAGGGACAGAUUUCACACUCAAAAUGGCAGAGUAA